UUCAACCCGCGGUCCAGACGCCGCCGUGACGGCGCGGCGGCGCGAUGCAGAACGGGGGUGGUGGAUGGAGAUUGCAGGGGCCGGAUCCGCGCGCGGCAGUGGCUAGGAAAGGCGGAUCCGGAGGCGUGCGGCGCGGAGGGGAUCGCCGGUGACGAAGAGGAAGGCCGGAGCAUGGCUUCCCGGGUGGAUCCAUGGCGUCCACGGCUCUUGGGCAGAGGGAGAUAAGGAGGUGAGGGAGAGAAGAAGGGACAAAGGAGGAGCGGUGCGGCGACCUAGGAGAGCUCGCCGGAGCCGAGCGACGGCGGACGGGCGCGGGCGUCGGGAGACGGGCGCGGGAGAUGGAGGGAUCCGAUGCGGCGGCGUAAAUCCUGCUACAGGUGCGAGUCGCUCGUCUUCUAGGACCACUCUCAAGACGACGGUGGCGUCAACGGCUAGGCGCACGACGGCAGCCCUCCCGUUGCUACGGAGCCUGGUGGAGUGCCCUGAGGCCGCAGAUGCUGCUGCUACACUCGCACCACCAGCUCAAGGUCAGUCUCCUUCACCUCGUUCUACAGUGCAACUCCCGUCUGGCACCAUGAUACCUUACUUCUGCCCCUCUGGUUUGGAGAGUGUGUGCUCUCAGCUCUGCUGGGCAGGCCGUGCUCUCUUGCGUGCGAGCAAGGGAGAAGAGCGAGCUUGCUGAUUCUUACCUACAGCUCCAACAUUUAAGCCUGCAAACCGAAUCUUCAGAUUUGUCUUCUACAGAAUAGGAUUUUUUUACAGUUACAUACUCAUUGAAGUUACAUGAUGUGCAGUUUAUAAAUUUGAUUACUAGGGGACUUUUACUACAUGUCCAGUUAUGCUUUCAUGAUAAAAGGAGCGCGCACCAAACGUUUGUUGAAUUGCUGCUUGAAGAAAAUGUAUGGAGUUUUUAUUGCUUGCUUCAAGUCAUAAACCACGUAAAAUAAAUCCUAUAAGCUGUUCUUACCAUAUUAUCUUUUGAACCAAUUUUGUAAACUUAGUACGAUAUGAUUAUUGUUUUUGUAGGGUUUCCUAUAGAUAUAUUUGAGCUAUUAAAAAUGUGAUUAUAUCAUUUGUCAUCUGAAAACCAGACUCAUGUAUACAUUAUGGGACAUAAUGUCCAGGAAAUAAUCACCAGGUACAAACAUCACUCUUAACCUACAUUGUACAACAUUGCAUAAUUUUCUGUUUUUCGUGAGGUACCGUUAGUAUUUUUUUAUCGCAUACAUAAAUAGAACAAAGGUCACAAGAGCUGAUUUUGUGCACCUUGCUGCAUCUGCACUGACUUGAUUAAGAUAUUCAAAGUGUGAGCUUUUGAAAUUUCCAAAAAUAAGUCAGAUUGUCAUUAUUAACCUAUGUGCACAUGCCAAUAUUUUCUGACUCUGUGACAAUUGUCUUUGAGAAUAAUUGGAUGAACCACCAUGUCGCCCUUGCGCCUGGUUCCAUGGGAAAGUAAUUUACAAACCUUCAGUUGGUCAAUACAGCCUACAUGUUUUUUUAACAGGCAGCUACAGGUUGACAUCUUUUAUCUGAUUCCAUGUUUUCUACCACUGCUUAACUUUAUUUGAAAAACUGUUGUUGAUAUGUAGGCAUGAUACAAUACUAGAGUUGUAUGCAGGAUAUAGUACUAGAGUUGGAAUUUCAGGGAAUCCAAAAAAGAACUUACUAUGCUUCAGCCCAUGUUUUCUACCAUUGCUUGCUUUUACUUGAAAAACUGUUGUUGUUAUGUAUGCCAGAUACAAUACUAGAGCUGGAAUUUCAGGGCAUCCAAAAAGAAUUUACUAUGCUUCAGGUAAGAAAGUUAAUUUGUUUGACUUUUGUAAGGACUAAAUUACGGACGCGGAUUUGGUGAACAUGGGUGCGCGCGCACCCUUUAUGAAUAGUAAAUUCAAAAAAAUGCUAGAAAAAAUCAAAAAAAUCUGAACUUAUUUUUGUAAUAUACAUAGUCAACCGCUAUGCUUGCAUAUGAAGUUUCACGAAGAAAUCACAUCCGUGGUAAUCUGGUCAAAAAUGACAAAAUCGAACCUAAUCGAAGCUAUAUUAAAAAACACUAUUUAAUGAAUAGUAUGGUCGCAUUUGUAUUUUCUUCACUAAGAAUACCAUGGGUGUCAAUAUAUCAUGAAACUUCACACGUGAGUAGAAUGAUCGACUAAGUUUCAUACCGCAAAAUUUCAGAUUUUUUUCAUUUUUUCUAGUAUUUUUUAUGAAUUUACUAUUCACGUGGGUGCACCCGCACCCAUGUUCACCUUUGUAUUUUCGCUAAAUUACUAGCUUAAUGCAUGGGACUUAUUGAGCUGCAGACAUGGCAUGUGCGUACAUAGAGACCUGCUGCGGAUACACCUCUUCUUACAGGAUAGGCUGUCUAAGAAUUAUCUUGAGCUUCAAUUUCCAUAAUAAAACGUGUGUUUUUAUUUAUCAUGGUUUCUCCUCCUACAUAACCAAAAUUUCCAGAUGUUGUUUUAUCAUUUCCUCCGGCGCCAUUAAAUCUCAGUCUUACCUAUGUUGAAAUGGUUCCAGCGUGUGCAUGAUGCACUGCUCCCCUUAGUUUUCGGAGGAACAUGGUGCUAUUCCUGGUGCUUUUGGUUAUGGAAAAACUGACAUUAGUCAGGAACUUUCUAAGGUGUUCACCUUACUGCGAUCUGUUCUCAUCGUAGCAUCUCUAUACAGUCUACUGAGUUUAAAAAUCCAUGCAGUACUCUAGUUCUGAAGCUUUGGUUUAUGUGGGAUGUGGCUGAAAGAGGAAAUGAGAUGGCCAAGAUUCUAAUGGAUUUCCCCCAAUCGACAAUGACAUUUCUUGACAUGAUGUGAAGAGUGGAGCUGCUUAAAGUACAUGGCGAGCUCACCAUGCUCACCUUUCUUCCUACAGAUUGGGAGCCGCCGACCAUGACCCAUGGUGUGUAGAUGAUACACUGGUGAUGCGUUCCAAGGGACGAAGAGGAGCUCAUGAUUUUCAGGGACGAGGAGGAGCUUGCAAGUUCCAGACUUGGCUUGCCUGACCUGCCGACGCAUGAGGAGGACUAGGAGUCUGGUGUUUUCUCUGCAAUGAAGAACGGAUGUCUUCGGGUGCAACGCACGUGCUCUUUUGCUUUUACAAACUUCAGUUCUAAUUUUAGUGUUCGGCUGAUAGUAGUCUGUUGGAACAAGUGCAAAGGCAACAUCAUCUUCCAGCAGAAGAUUUCCCCUGCAUUGAGCGCUUCAGAGAUGCACUAGGUUACUCCAAGAACAAGGGCAUUAUCAAACUAGAUGUUGUAUAUUAUCCGUCCAUCAUCUUGAUGCUUGUGUAUCCCGCGACAAGUCCAAGCUUAAUCAGGAUAAUCUGAUUAGUGCGUCA
Molecule: long non-coding RNA, 3331 nt
Organism: Triticum aestivum (bread wheat)
Lineage: Eukaryota; Viridiplantae; Streptophyta; Magnoliopsida; Poales; Poaceae
Exons: 2
Source: RefSeq, a predicted model, not a curated record